GGGUGAUUGGUUGGUUGCUGUUCCUGCCCCCACGCCUGUCGUGGUUUAGCUGAACUGAGCUGAAUUCCUAAAGGCCGCGGAGUCGGCGGUGUUGUAGGUAGCGGUACCUUGAGUGGCAACAGAAUUCGAUUAAAUUACAAUGGGAAACAUUUUUGAAAAGCUCUUUAAAAGUCUACUUGGGAAAAAAAAGAUGCGGAUUCUUAUAUUGAGUUUGGAUACAGCUGGAAAAACCACCAUCUUGUAUAAAUUGAAGCUGGGGGAGACUGUGCCUGCCGUCCCUACAGUAGGUUUCUGUGUGGAGACAGUAGAAUAUAAAAAUAACACCUUCGCUGUCUGGGAUGUUGGCAGCCACUUCAAAAUCAGACCUCUGUGGCAGCAUUUUUUCCAGAACACAAAAGGUGCCAGAAGCCCAGGAAGCACACAUCAAGGCUCACUUGCCAGCGGGGUGCUGCCAAUAAAAUGUAGUCACGUGGAAUUUGGAAUGUGGAAAGGAGGUAGAAGUCAUCCUUUCCUCCCCCAUAGCAGCAGGUGUGCAGGCUCUGGUGGUCAGCUGGACUCCAUACUCCCCCACCAGUCACCAGCCUGGGGACCGUGGGGCUGCAAGGACCUCAGCAGCGGUUUCCCAAGUUUCCUGACUUCUUCCAUCCUCUGGAAAUCAGCUGUGAGCUAUCAGCUUCCCAGUUUGCACAAUUCAUCAAGAAAUUAUGCGGGGUCACUGGCACAAAUGAUGAGGCAUCUCCUGGAAGCUUAACUUCUUAUCCAUCCCAUCUCUUGGACAGAUGAUGCCAGUUAAUUACUUUGAAUGUAAGUAUUUUAUCUAAAAGCACUUAUGUGUCUAAACAGACUUCUACAAAUCAGUACCAAAAUGGUAAAUAAUUCCACAGAAAUAUGGGCAAAAGCUUAUCAUUAUCAACAAAUGAGAAGAAAGAAACCCUAUGCCAGGUAACACCAAAGCUUUGGCCCAGUGCCCUCUGUUGAAACAUCCUAGGCUUUUUCUUUCCACUCCUAUUACAACUGAUCUGAUUUGGCCCCUUCACACCUCACUCCUAGAUUUUGCUAGACCUUUCUAUUUUGUCUCCCUGAAUUAAGCUUUUCCUUUUGGACACUUUACAUAUGGAUUCUAAAACAAUCCUCUGCAUGUCUACACUUGCACAUAAUGCAAAAAACAAAAUAAAAUAAUCUUCCUGUUUUGAUCAUGUAAUCUCUCUUGCUUGGAAACUUUCAAUGGCUUUCCAUACCUCAUUGUGUAACUUUCAAACUCCUGUAGCUGAUAAUCAAGGUUUUACAGAAUCGUAUCUUCAUUGCUCCCUCACCUAAUUCUUUGUAGCCACAUUGGUCUACUAAAUUCCAACCAUACCUGUAGCCAUGCGUUUGCCUAGACUGUACUCCCAUUUUUCUCCUAUUUAACAAAUUAUGGCUACUCUUUAAGACCCAAGUAAAGUUUUAGCUUACCCAUGUAGCAUCUCCACACCUCAAGGAUCACAGAUUCUGGCAAAUUCUAGCACCAAUGGUCUGCAUUAUCUUUUAGUACUUAAUUAUAUAUACCUCCCUUUUUAUGCCUAUUCUCUUUCUUCCCUCCUAUCAUUUUUUUUUUUUUUUUUUUUUUGAGAUGGAGUCUUGCUCUGUCGCCCAGGCUGGAGUGCAGUGGUGCAAUCUCGGCUCACUGCAAGCUCUGCCUCCCAGGUUCAUGCCAUUCUCCUGCCUCAGCCUCCCGAGUAGCUGGGACUCCAGGCACCCACCACCAUGCCUGGCUAAUUUUUUUCUGUAUUUUUAGUAGAGAUGGGGUUUCACCAUGUUAGCCAGGAUGGUCUUGAUCUCCUGACCUCAUGAUCCGCCCGCCUCGGCCUCCCAAAGUGCUGGGAUUACAGGCGUGAGCCACCACACCCAGCCUCUUCCCUCCUAUCAUUUUCGUGUUCUGGAGACAGUAGCAUACUUGGCCCUGGGUUUGACAUAAAACUAGUUCUACAUAUAGAAAGCUAGGGACAAAAAUGAGUUCUGGACAAAACUAAAGGACUGAAUAAUCAUGUGAACAGCCAACUCUCCUACAUAUGCUAAGCACUGAUGAAGUGUUUCAUAUAUUCACUCACCUAAAUUUCACAACAAUCCUAUGAAAUGCUAACUAGCAUGAUCCCCAGUUUAAAGGUGAGGAAAUUGAGUCACAGGCAGAAUAACUUGCUCUGGGUCACCAAGCUAAUAAAUAGAUCUGGGUUCAAACCCAGGCAGCCUGGCUCCGGAAUCAACUCUUAACCACUUAGAGCAUCAUCACUGAGAUCGGGAGAGGGACAGGCUGCUGUAAAGAGGGUGAAGCGAAAAUGGGAGGAGAGCAGCGGUUAAGCAAUGAUGUGAUGGGGCUAAAUAAAAAUGGAUACAAAAACGAGUAAAAGACCAGAGUAAAAGGAAAAGACUGGAGAAGGGGCCUAACAUUAAAAGAGAAUGAGGAGAAGGGAGAGUUGACAAGCAAAGGUGAAAGCAGAAAGUCAGUUGUCCAUAUGGCUUGGGGAGAUAAAGAAGGCCCAGGAAGGCCUCCAGGAAAAGGCUGCCAUGUCAGGCAGGACACAGAGGACAAUUGAGGAAAAGUGAUUCUUACAAGAUGGUGAAGGUGCCAUUGUGGGUGUUGGGCUCUGGCACAGGCACUUGGCGGAGCCUCUGCUCUGGGUUGAGAUCAAUACAUGACAACAUCUCAUCUCCGCAGGUACAGAGCUCACAUAUGUUGGUGCUUGUGGAGGCCUUGUGUUCCUCUGGUGCAGUUAAAGCCUUAUUUUGGGUGUAACUUUCAGACUGCACCAGUGAAUCCUGAGCAGGUUCUAGUUCAGUAGGUGGACCUGUGACUUCAGUCAGGCUUCGAUGCAGAGUCUGAACCCGGUCUGGACGAGGAGCUGUAGUCUUCUCCAGGGCUGUAGAAUGUCCAGUCUCUGUAGUGGGUUCUGGAAUGAUGGCAAGUCCCAGGUCUGGAGGCUGAGUUGAGGUCUCCUCCGUGGUUGGAGACGGUUUAACCUCUGUAGUAGGUUUUGUAGUUAUGGUAAGCUCCAGGUCCAGAGGUUGAACGGUGGCUUGAGUCAGGUGUGAAUGCUGAGCCUGACCCUUGUCUGAAGGUGGAAGUGUCACCUCAGGGUGUCCUGGAGGAGGAGCUGUAGUCAUCAGGGCUGUAGAAGGUUCAACCUCUGUCAUGGAUUUUGGAGUGAUGGUAAACCCCAGGUCCAAAGGUUGAACUGUGGCUCGAGUCAGGUGUGAAUGCUGAGUCUGAACCUGGUCUGGAUGUGGAAGUGUCACCUCAGGAUGCUUUGGAGAAACUAUAGUCCUCUUCGGGGGUGUAGAAUGUCCAACCUCCGUAGUGGGUUCUGGAGUGAUGGUAAGUCCCAGGUCCAAAAGUUGAACUGUAACGCUGGGUGACACUGGAUGCUGAGCUUGAUCCUGACCUGGUGUUGGAUUUGUUACCCCUUGAUAUACUCGAAGUUGGGGUACAACUUUCUUAGGAGGCUGAGUUGGGGUCUCCUUCAUGGUUGGAGAAAGUUCAACCUCUGUCAUGGAUUCUGGAGUGAUGGUAAACCCCAGAUCCAAAGGUUGAACUGUGGCUUGAGUCAGGUGUGAAUGCUCUGGAGGUUGAGCUACAACUACAUUAGGGAACUCUGGAGUCUGAGCUGGGGCCUCCUGAUGGGUUAGGGAAGACUCACCCUCCUCAGCGGUCUGUGGAUGCUCAGCUGCAGCCUCCUGCUGGGUUGGAGAGGGGUUCUCAUUAUUAAUAGGUUCCGGAGAUUGAAAUGAAGUCUCCUGUUGAACUGCUAAAGGUCCAGCUUCUUCUGAUGACUCUGAAAGCAGAGGUGGGCCCCCGUGCUGGAUGGCGGGAGGUUCUAUAUCAUUACCUGACCCUGAGAGCCGAGUUGUAGCCUCCUGCUGGACUAGAGAAGUUCCCACCUCUGCACUAGGCUCUGCUGCUAUGGUGAGCUGCACGUCUGGAGGCUUCACAGAGACACUGGGUGAAUCUAAAUGAUGAGUUUGAUGGUCACCUGGAGGUGAAACUGUGACUUCAUGAUGUUCUGGAGGCUGACCUGGGGUCUCCUGCUGGGUCGGAGAAGAUUCGACCUCCCUAGAAGUCUCAGAAGGCUGAACUGGCUGCUGCUGCUCACUGAUGGAAAGUUCAUGCUCCAUAGGAGGAACUGGAGGCUCAAUUGGGGCCUCCUGUUGGGUUGCAGAAGGUUCCACCUCCUCUGGAAACUGAAUUGGGGUCUCCUGCUGAGCUUGGGAAGAUUCUGUCUCAUUGGUAGCCUCUGAAGUUAUGGUAACCUCCACAUCUGCAGGUUUAACUGUAAUGUUGGGCAAGUGAUAAUAAGCUUGAUCCUCACCUGGAGGUUGAACUGACACCUCAUGAUUCGGUAGAGUUAGACUCUCCAUAGAGGACUCUGGAGGCAGAGCUGGGGCCUCCUGCUGCAUUGAAGAAGGUUCUUCCUCAAGGAGCUGUGGAAGCUGUGCUGGGGCUUCUUGCUGGAGUGAAGAGGACUGGAUGUCUUCAAGGGUCUCUGGAUUUUGAGUUUCGGGCUCUAGAUGGAAUUGAGAAGGUCCAACUUGCUCAGAGGGCCCUGGAGGCUCAUCUGACUUCACCCGGAGUUCUGGAGGCAGGCUACCGGGAUACGGUGUAUCUGUACUGGAAUAUUCAUUCUGCAAAGUCUGUUUCUGACUCUGAGGUGUGGAUAAUUGGCGUAUAAUUCCAAUAAUCUCAGCAAGGCUCCAACGCUGAGCUGGAUCUUUCUUCAGCUUCUUGGGCGAAACAGGGAGCCUUUCCUGUGGACUCAGCUUGUCCUUUAAAUCCUGCUGUGAAGCCAAGAACUGCUCUGGCUCCAGGGGCAGCUCUCCAGCUGAAUCCCAGGUGUCCAGGAAUGGAACCAAAUUUUCAGUCGAUUCCUGGGGUGGGGCUGGCAUCUCUGAGGAAGCAGAGGGCCCCAGGUGAUCAAAGUCCCACGGGUCUGCUGGGAGAGUAGGCGCAUGGGGAGAUUCCCGUGGGAAAUGGGAGGAGUGGGAAGACCAGGGCUCAGGCGGCCCCAGGGGGUUAGAGGUCAGCUGGAGCGGGUCCUUGACCCACUCCAGAGGCUGAGCCUCCUUGACUAGUAGCCACAAUAGUUGCCACAUAAGGAGGGGCCAUGGGCCCCAGAAACGCAGCGGGGACAUGACACACGCUAGUGCCGGGCACUGAGCGGAAGUCAUUCUGGCAGCUCCGAGACGCUCGUGCCCCUUGUAAGCAUGAGUCCCGCCCUGUCUUUAUGACACCUUUAUUUAUGCCACAGAACUGCUCCAUGUCACCAGGGCACUCAUGUCACAAUCCCGCCCAAGCACGCCUUCCCAUCCUGCCCUGCCGGAGCACCCCUCUCCUCCCCUUAGUGAGGAAGGAUUUGGGCCUCAGAUCCUGGUGGUCCCAGGACUCCAGCGCCUGCUGUGGUGGGGUAGGGUGGGGUAGGGUGGGAUGGGGGCGCGGCAGAGCUUCCCAAGGAAGUCACCGGACCUCGCCUCAGGAUAUUCAGAAGUGCUAGUUCAGUUCUGGCAGCCUUCCUCCUUUAAGGUGAAAUCCGAGAACACUCUUCCUUCCAGGGAGAGCAACUGACCUGCAAAAUGGGCGCCAGGAUGUACAUUACAGUCAUUUAUUCCAAAGUGUUGCCAUUUUCGCUAAACUGUCGCAUGUUUGAUAAUUAAUUCACCACCCUAUUAGGUAGGGGCUGCCAGGGAAUAAGCGAGGACUCCAAAUUUUCUGUAGGAGGGGUGUUGGGAGUUGGCAAUUCGGUCUGGGAGAGAAGGUUUUAAUCCGAGUGAAGAGCCCUUUGCACUAGCCUGGGAGGAGGCUGAACUGUCAUCCUGCCUUGACUCAACACAGCCAUUCCCCUAGAAGUUACAGCACUUCUAGGGUCACCUGUGUUCAGAGAUCUACCCUGUGUGCACACAUGGAGAAGAGGCUUAGGUUGUUAAAGUCAGCAUGUUAAAUCAUUUCCUGAAAUGCGACUGUAACUAGAACCCAGCUGACUUCCCCCACAGCCGUUCUUACCUAUUUUAUUACUGUCUGGCAUAAUUACCAGCAUGUAAACUCCAAGAAGGUGCUUCAUCUUAUUUUAGUGCCUGGCAUAGACAUAGGGUGCAUAGUGAUGGCUUUAAAAUUGAAGGGGGGCCGGGUGUGGUGGCUCACACCCAUAAUCCCAGAACUUUGGGAGGCCGAGGUGGGGGGAUCACUGAGGUCAGAAGUUCGAGACCAGCCUGACCAACAUGGUGAAACUCCGUCUCUACUAAAAAUACAAAAUUAGCCAGGUGUGGUGGUGCAUACCUGCAAUCCCAGCUACUCAGGAGGCCAAAGCAGGAGAAUCGCUUGAACCUGGGAGGCAGAGGUUGCAGUGAGCCGAGAUCACAACAUUGCACUUCAGCCUGGGCAACAAGAGAGAAACUCCAUCUCAAAAAAAUAAAAUAAAAUAAAAUGGAAGAGAUUCCAAGAUUCACCUCAUUUAGGGAUGGAGCUAUUAUUAUAAUCAGAUUUCUGAAAUGAGUGCUGACUUCCUCUCACAUUUCACAGGAAGCUAGACUUCUUAAAGCUUGAAGUCUCCUUGGUGGGUUUUAUUUAAAUUGAAUUAAAAUAAUUAUUUUACAGGGAAAAAUUUCAAAACACUUUGCAACUUUGGGGUAAAAGUUAAAUAAAACACUGUAGCCCCAAGUUAAGUUCCCACUGAAAUGAUACUUUUGCUCCUUUUUUUAAAAAAAAUUCCAUAAAUAGUAAAUAAUGACUGUUUUGAGAUUAAUUUAGAAACAAUCCCUAUUUAAGAGCUUUCAUAUGCAGUCAUGCAUUGCUUGCCACGUGAGGAGCUUGAGAAAUGGGUCACUAGGUUAUUUCACCAUUGUGCUAAUAUCAUAGCGUAUACUUACACAAACCUAGGUGGUGUAGCCACCAUACCUAGGGUACACGGUAUGGCUUAGGACUCCUAGGCUACAAACCUGUACUGUAUGUUACUGUACUGAAUACUAAAGGCAACUGUCACAGAAUGGCAGGUAUUUGUGUAUGUAAACAUGGAAAAUAUAUAGUUAAAAUACUGUGUAAAAGAUAAAAAUGGGGCCUGGGCACAGUGGCUCAUGCCUGUAAUCCCAGCACUUUGGGACGCCAAGGUGGGUGGAUCACUUGAGCUCAGGAGUUCAAGACCAGCCUGGCCAACAUGAUGAAACCCCAUCUCUACUAAAAAUACAAAAAUUAGCUGAGUGUGGUGACGCGUGUCUAUAAUCCCAGCUACUCAGGAGGCUGAGGUAGGAGAAUCACUUGAACCUGGGAGGUGGAGGUUGCAAUGAGCUGGGAUCAUACCACUGCACUCCAGCCUGGACAACAGAGUGAGACUCCAUCUCAAAAAAAAAAAAAAAAAAAAAGAUAAAAAUGGUAUACCUAUAUAGGGAUAGCUCCAUUAUACGCUUACGGAACCACCAUCAUAUAUGUGGUCUACUGUUGACGCAAACUUCAUUUUGCAGCACAUGAUUGUAAAUGAUUGACAGAAAGAUCUUCAGCAAAAUAUUCCACCCAAGAUACGUGGGAGAUAUUGAGAUCCAAGCAAUAAGCCAUAUUUGAAAGGCAUUAUAGUUUUCAAAAGCUGUAGCGCAAUCAUUCUUAAGGCCAGUUACCUUCUCCCCACAUCUCUGGGAUCCUGUUUGAAGGGAGUUCUAACAAGGCCUGUGUUCGAGCAGCCCAGCAUCCCUUACUCCUGGAGCGGGGGGAGACUAACCCCUCUCCUGUGUCCACAACUGUAGUAACACAAUCCUCGGUUCUGCUCUCCAAACUUCAAAUAAGGGGUCAGAGCCAAGGGUCAAGACUUUAGGAAAAGCCCCGGAAAUACCCUGCACUCAAAAAGCAGUUUCAGAGUUUCACAUUUUCCUGAGAAUUAAACAAAUUAUCCUCCAAAUUCUGCUGCUUGUUUUGAAUUAUGGUUAUACUGGCAAUGUUAUCCAACCCUUGAGUUGUUUUUCUUUUCUUUUUUUUUUUUCCUCGAGAGAGUGUCUUGCUCUGUCACCCAGGCUGGAAUGCAGUGGCAUGAUCUCGGCUCACUGCAACCUCCGCCUCCUGGGUUCAAGUGGUUUUCAUGCCUCAGUUUCCCAAGUAGCUGGGAUUACAGGUGCCCACCACCACACCCAGCCAAUUUUUGUAUUUUUAGUAGAGACAGGGUUUCACCAUAUUGGCCAGGCUGGUCUUGAACUCCUGACCUCAUGAUCCACCCACCUCGGCCUCCCAAAGUGCUGGGAUUACAGGUGUGAGCCACAGCGCCUGGCCUGUUUGUUUUUUGAGAUAGAGUUUCACUCUUGUUGCCCAGGCUGGAGUGCAAUGGUGUGAUCUUGGCUUACCGGAACCUCCGCUUCCCGGGUCCAAGCGAUUCUCCUGCCUCAGCCUCCCGAGUAGCUGGGAUUACAGGCAUGUGCCACCAUUUCUCCAUGUUGGUCAGUCUGAUCUUGAACUCCUGACCUCAGGUGAUCCACCCGCCUCAGCCUCCCAAAGCACUGGCAUUACAGGUGUGAGCCACUGUGCCCGGCCCUGUUACCUUUGAGUUUUUAUCUCCACAUACUUAUAUUAAACCGUGUAGUUCUUCUUCCCAUCUGACAUCUACAAUCUCUUCACUGGGUCUGUACUCCAUAGCUAUUUUACCACUUUCUGAAAUAAAGUUAGCAAGGAUGAAUUCAGAAUCUUUUUCAUUCCAAAACUUCCUGCAUAUAAUGGUAGCAACCCACAAUGAGACAUUCUUUUAGUUUCUAAAAGCAGGAAAUAAGCAUUUUCCUGAAAGUUUCCUCAUCUCUUCAUCAUACACUUCGAUUUUUGUUUUUCUUUUUUCUUUUAGACAGGGUCUCACUCUGUCACCCAGGCUGGAGUACAGUGGCACUAUCAUAGCUCACUGUAGCCUGGAAUUCCUGGGCUCAAGUCAUCCUCCUGCUUCAGCCUCCAGAGUAGCAGGCACUAUAUCACUGUGCCCAUCUAAUUCUCUUUUUUAGAGACAUGGUCCCGCUUUGUUUUCCAGGCUGGUCUCGAACUCCUGGCUUGAAGUGAUCCUUCUGUCUUGGCCUCCCGAAAUGCUGAGAUUUCAAGCGUGAGUCAUCAUGUCUGGUCUCACAGCUCAGUUUUUAACAUAUGUAUGAAAUAUCAACUGUGUUUGGUUCAAAGGACUUUAUGAUCUUACAGAUAGGAACUAAGGAAUAAUAACAUAAGAAAUAAAAAAUGUGGAAAUAAAAACGUUCAAUCAUAAUAUGAUUAAAAGGUAAGGCACCAGGUGGGGGGUCGAAGUAAGUUCAAAUCCAAAAUAGAGACCACUGGGCUAGUAGACACUUCACAUUAGAAGCAUGGCUAGGUGUCUACUCCCUGAGAACCAAAAUUCCACCAGAUACAAUGAACAAAGCUUUAGAGAGAGAAAACAUUUGAACAUUUUACGGGCAGAAAAUGGCCCACAUACUCUAUAGACAAUACAAUUUCCUUCAAGGCAAACUAGAACUAUAAGGCUUUUGGUCUAAGAAGUGAGUGUGUGCAAGGGAUACCUUUGCAUACUAGGGAGGGGUAGACAACCCACACAUUUAGCUUGGUUAUUAAAUGUCAUUACUCAGACUUGACAGUUGAUGACCAAGGAAGUAAGACUUUCACUAGAAGGGCUGCCCAGGUUGGAAAGCUGAGAGCAAUCAUGGCCACCUCUUACAAGCAAAUAAAGGUCUGUAGUAACUUAAUUACAAUCUCAGUCUCUAAGCCUUCAGGGUUGUGAAGCAGAAAGGCAACUCUGUUCAGGGACUCGUUAAACACCAGGUUUCCUUUGGGCACAGGCUAUGACAUUUGUGCCACUGUAGAACUGAAUAGGAAAUACAAGCAGUGCCAUUCAACAGCAUGACCACUUCCAAGGCUCACAGCAAAGCAGCUGAUUAUUGUAUAAGAAUCAUAUUUGGCCAAUAUGUCAGUGCCAGAAAUGAGAGCUGGAACUGAAUUCUCGAUUCGAGAAACAUAAUCUAAUAAAUUCUUCAGCAGAGUUUAUUUAUUCAGAGAGAAAACAAUCACAACAAUAGCAUAUUUUGUCUGCUUACCUUGUAAGUAUAGUUCUGAGUUUUUACACUUGUCAUCUCAUUUUUUCUUACAAUAUCCGCAAUAAGGUUGAUUGGAUUACUAACCCCAGUUUGCAGAUAAAGAUUGCAGCUUAGAGAUAUUAAAUAUCUUCAAAUCUCUCUGGCCAUAAGACCUAAAACUGCAUACAAAAAUCUAAGAGACAGAGUUAGGACUCAAAUCCAUGUGUCCAGGGCUUAUAAUCACUAUUCUGUACGAUAGGCAUGCAAUUAAAGAAGACCUGCCUCAAACAUUUUCUGUGUGACCUGAGGCAAGUCCUUUUAUAGCUAUAAACUAGGGACAAUAUUUGCUGUCAUUUUUUCUACAAAUGUCACAAAGAACAAAUUUGAGCCUGUCGCUGUGAAAGAACUUAGCAAAUGAAAGCAUCCUAGGGAGUGUUUUAGAUAUCGAUAUUUUUAUCCAAUUAACUUUUCAAAAUGAGUUUAUUUGCUCACUGAAACUGAAGUACUUCAACGACGAUUAAGAAAGUUUUACCUAGAACCACAAUCAACAGUUUCUGGAAUGCAUCUGACAAAGCCUUCUCAAUAGCAAUCUGGGCUAUCUUCCCUUUCAUAGGAAUGACAACGGUCUUAAAUCCAACCCAAACUAAUGGAUUUAAGAUGCCUAUCUGAGUGAUCAUUGCUACAUGUUGGUUAAAAAAUAAAAAUGCAUCCACGAAUCUUAGCUCAUAAUCUUCGUGAUUAAAGGCAGACAGCACAAGGGUAUGGUUGAACGUCUCUGUUAUAGGUACAUCCUGGCAGGGCCCAUUUUUACUGCCUCCAUCUAGUUGGGAAGUUCCUAAAGUACUAGAGGGAGACACAAGCCAAGAACCUGGCACAUAUCUCACAUCACCCAGAGAUUUAAUUCAUCAGUUAAGGCUACACUCCUAUGGACCCCACCCUCCUAUGCAUCAAGGGCUGGAAUCACUCACUGAAAAAAAGCUUUGUUGGCUGGACACGGUGGCCCAUGCCUGUAAUCCCAGCACUUUAGGAUGCCAAGGCGGGUUGAGGCCAGGAGUUCAAGAACAGCCUAGCCAACGUGGUGAAACCCCAUCUCUCCUAAAAAUACAAAAAUUAGCCGAGUGUGGUGGCACACACCUGUAAUCCCAGCUACCUGGGAGUCUGAGGCACAAGAAUAGCUUGAACCGGGAGGCGGAGGUUGCAGUGAGCCGAGAUCAUUCCACUGCACUCCAGCCUGGGUGACAGAGUAAGACUAUUUUCAAAAAGAGGCCAGGCACAGUGGCUCAUAUCUGUAAUCCCAGUACUUUGAGAGGCCAAGAUGGGCAGAUCACUUGAGGUCAGGAGUUUGAGACCAGCCUGAGCAACAUGAUGAAACCCUGUCUCUACUAAAAAAUUUUUUAAAAAUUAAAAAUUGGCUGAGUGUGGUGGUGGGCAGGAGGGAGGUGAACUGCUUGAACCUGGGAGGUGGAGGUUGCAGUGAGCCGAGAUCACACCGGUGCACUCCAGCCUGGGCGACAGAGCAAGACUCUGUCUCAAAAAAACAAAAAAGGUUUGGUACAGAUAAUCUGGCUCCUCCCUGGGCAUCAUCCAUGAAAGCCUACUCCCCUCCAUUAGCCUACAGCCCUGCCUCUGACUUCAAACCCUAAGCCUGAGGGCCAUGAGUACUAGAAAAAAAUCUCAACGUCAGUUAUCAAUUGAGUACCCUUUCUAGUAUCUCUAGUAGACUCUUGUUCCACUGAAGCCCUUCUACGAGUAAAAAAAAGGCUGAAUGGGCCGGGCGCGGUUGCUCAUGCCUGUAAUCCUAGCACUUUCAGAGGCCAAGGCAGAUGGAUCACGAGGUCAGGAGUUUGAGACCGGCCUGACCAACACAGUGAAACCCCAUCUCUACUAAAAAUACAAAGAUUAGCCAGGCAUGGUGGUGCAUGCCUGUAAUCCCAGCUACCCAGGAGUGUCAGGCAGGAGAAUCACUUGAACCUGGGAGGUGGAGGUUGCAGUGAGCCGAGAUCACACCACUGCACUCCAGCCUGCGCGACAGGGCAAGACUCUGCUUCAAAAAAAAAAAAAAGACAAUGUUUACACAAAACUUUCUGUAAAUCUUUACAUGAUGACUUGGCAUGGUGGGUGGCUCAUGCCUAUAACUCCAGCACCUUGGGAUCCUGGGGCAAGAGGAUCACUUGAGGCCAGGAGUUUGAGACCAGGCAGGACAACACAGCAAGACCCCAUCUCCAGAAAAAAUAAUUAGCCACAUGUGGUGGCGCACGCCUGUAGUCCUGGCUAGUCAGGAGGCUAAGGUGGGAGGAUCCCUUGAGCCCAGCAGUUUGAGGUUGCAAUGAGCUAUGAGCAUGCUACUGCACUCUAGCCUGGGCAACAGAGCAAGACCCUGUCUCUAAAAAAUAAUAAUAAAUAGAUAAACAAAUCUUUAGAUAAUUUUGUUGGGAUAACUGAAGGCUAUAAGAGAUACAUAUUUGAAGGACUAUUUUAGACGAGAUUGGGCGCGUUCAGGGUGGUAUGGCUGUAGACUUGAAGGACUAUUUUAAUACAAAGCAAGUUCUUAACCGAAAACUGGAAAAACAUUACUUCCUUCUUCCUCCUACGCUUCUUGGCAGGAAGUACACUGUACAAUUUUAAAUUUAAAGGUUCUGGCCGGGUGGGGUGGCUCACACUUGUAAUCCCAGCACUUUGGGAGGCCAAGGCAGGCAGAUCACGAGGUCAGGAGAUCGAGACCAUCCUGGCCAACAUGGUGAAACCCCAUCUCUACUAAAAAUACAAAAAUUAGCUGGGUGUGGUGGUGGGCGCCUGUAAUCCCAGCUACUCAGGAGGCUGAGGCAGGAGAAUGCCUUGAACCCGGGAGGCGGAGGUUGCAGUGAGCCGAGAUCACGCCACUGCACUCCAGCCUGGUGACAGAGCAAGACUCUCUCUCAAAAUUAGUUAAUUAAUAAAUCAAUGUAUUAAAUAAAUUUAUUAAUUAAUAAAUCAAUGUAUUAAAUAAAUUUAUUAAUUAAUAAAUCAAUGUAUUAAAUCAAUUUAUUAAAGCAAUUUAUUUACUUAUUUAAAGGCUCUGUCAGGUAUUGCCUAAGGUAAAAGUCUGUAUUGUAAGACAGAAAACCUCUGCCCAGGACUUCAGUAGCUCAGAGAGGGAAAGGCUUGAUAUGUGUCUGAAAAGACAAGUUUUAGACAGCAAGAAAAAAGAGAUCCUUCCCAUUUCAACUCCUUACCCUCCUCUACCCCCAAUGAAAACAGACCUUCCUUCGCCUUAUCCACAGGCUCCUCCACCAAGCCAAGGCCAGACUCCUGCAAUCAUAGGAUGGCAACACCACCUCUAAAGCACAGAACUUCAGGCUUUGCUUCGGAAGUGGCACCAUGGUCUCUUCAUUUUCCCUUUCUUCAAGGCAAGUUUGAAAACCACUGCUUUAAAGAAAAUGGAUACUCCCCUUACCAAGCAGAAAGUAGGAUUUUGGAAACUGAUGCAAGGGAAGCAAAAAAGAUGCCUCAGGAGGCACGAUUACAACAGGAUUGAUGCAAACGGAAGCUGAAGCUUAACCAAAGACAUUAAUAUACGCCCACAAAAGAAAAUGCUAAGGAAGUCAAGUGGUCUGCAUGAAUUCUGAAGAAAAAUGGAGAACCAAAGAACAAAAUUUGUCAAUGAACUUCCAGCACAGUCUAGGUUAAGGGAGUGAAUUUCUUGACUGAAUGGCACAGACUCUGUACCACCUGAUUGGCUGUUACCUUAAUGGAGGAAUUAUAUUACAAUGUAUAGGUACUUUAAUUAGAAUGACCUGGCAGUUACUGAGGCAAAAUUUUCCGCUCCUUUGUAUUCUGUAAUACAAGAAGGAUCUACAUGGAUGUUCUGUUCUCUGAACUGUCUGGAUGAACCGGUCAACGGCACUCAUCAUACCUUAGUUUUUAAAUCUGCAUUGUGGUCAUAAUCUGUUAUUUAAUUAAUUUCUCGUAUUUUUAAUAAAAACUUUGCCUAUA
RNA transcript from Homo sapiens (human), 13998 nucleotides. It is a transcript of the gene named ARF like GTPase 17A, with no coding region annotated. The record is from RefSeq and is marked validated. The transcript has 6 exons. Lineage: Eukaryota; Metazoa; Chordata; Mammalia; Primates; Hominidae.